RNAcentral lists this unclassified non-coding RNA (140 nucleotides) under Citrobacter freundii. RNAcentral's name for it is "yybP-ykoY". Lineage: Bacteria; Pseudomonadati; Pseudomonadota; Gammaproteobacteria; Enterobacterales; Enterobacteriaceae. The record is from RNAcentral.
GUAACCCGCAAAGGGGAGUAACUUCGUUGUCGGUUGAUCGUCAUUACGAUGUGUGAAAAACCACAUCCGGUCACCGGGCGAUAACAAAGGAAUACGCCAUCGUAUUCCUUUGUUGUUGUAAGUGAGACCUUGCCGAAUGG